CAGAUUUGGGGAGCAGACGGUCAAAGCUAAAAUGUCUUCAUUAUUAAAUUUAAACUUCUCGAGCAGAGGGCAACCUGAAAUAAGGUUUUCAAUAACCUCAAUAGUAACAUUGCCGCCAAAAAGGUUUAGGUACUUCAAACAGGGAAAUCCUUGAAAUCCCAAAGGAGGCUCCACUUUAACCCGAUAAAGCUUCAAUCUGGUCAGUUUUUGACAAGAAAAUAUACAAGAAGGUGUGCGGAAAAUCCAAUAGUUUCUGGUCUGGAAAUUCCAAUAGUUUCUGGACUGCCACACCUCAAGAAGCAACUCCUUUAUAUCUUUCCUUGAUAGGAAAAGCAGCCAUGUAUCCAUCUCAGUAGAACUUAUGGAGUAUAAAGUAGAUAUUUUGAACUUAUGAAUUGGGCCGUCAUGAAGUAAAAAAUAUCGUACGAUAAAUCUUAAAAUUUUAUUCCUAGAAACAUUUCUGUAGCAAGAAAAACCCAUAUAUUCUUCGUCAAGUACGAGCUGUGUCAUGGUAGCCCAUUGAUACCUCCACUUUUUAGACAAGAUGCUGGUUCUAACGGCAUCUCUUGUUGGGACUUUUGCUAGGAUGGUUUCAAUAAUGCUUUGAGGCAGAUGACUGAUAUAAUCUUUCCUUGAGAAUUCACCCAUUUAAUAUCCCUGGAAAAGCCUGGAAAUUAUAAUUCUAAUCAUUCCCAAAUUAAAUCAAUAUAAAAAACUAUGCAGUAUGUUUGUAUGACUACAACACCUUAAGGCCAUGUUUGUUUGAAGGGAUUAUAAUGCCCAGACAACAACAUUAUUUUCUCUAAAUUUAGAGGAUUAUUAUCCCAUGUGAUUUCAUUGUAAUCACCUUUUUUUGAUUCAUUUCUAUGGAUUAUAAUAUCUUCUCUCACAAUGUAUUAGAAUUCCUUGAGAAUGCUCAGUUGAGACAAAUAUCCUUACUAAUUCUUUUACGUUUGUCAUGCCAAUUAAUCUAACCAGACGAAGGAAAAACUUUAUGCCAAAUAAAUCAAAUCCUGAAACACAUUGAGUGAAGAAAUCGAUCGGGCUGGCCAUACAGUGAUUUCAAUUUAAGUAUUCCCAAUUCGAUAGAUGAAAAAAAUCUUCAAUUUGUAAAGAAUAGCCUGUAAUCAAAAACCAAUGAAAACCAAAGCAAAUGUACCUAUGAGAAGAGGGUCUGGGAAGGAUAAGAUGUACGCAGCCUUACUUCUAAUUCCAAAAGCAGAGGCCAUUUCCCUAAUCCUAUACUUGUUAGUUCUACUUCUAUCCUAUUAUCUUGGAAGAAUCUAAUGAUAAGAUUGAUAGACUUACAGAUUGGUUGAUAUAUCACUCACAGUUUGGUAAGUUUUUUUAAGUAAUGCAAAAUGGUUGCUGAACAUCAUGUCCGCCUUUCAAUUAGGCAUCUGCCGCCAAUAAUUAUUCAACUCGACUAUAAAAUAAGGACUAGUCAAGCAGCAUAAAAAUAGGGAUAAAUUCUCUAAUAUGCGAAUAAACUAUAGGGAUAAAUUCUCUAAUAUGUGAAUAAACUAUGUACAUUGUACACGCAAAGACCUUAAUUUAAAAUUGGGGAAAUUAUAAAAAUGAUUAAUUAACUAGGUUGGUCUGUUGAUGGGUCGGGUAUUAAUGUAUGCUGAACGAUUAAUUUCUAAAAGAUUUACAAAAAUGUAAUACGAUGCAGUAUUCUAACGGAGUUGAUUAAACUAUAUCAAAGGCGGACAUGGGAUUUAGCUACCAAAUUUGCGAUGGGGAAAUAAAAACCAAAAUGCUCAGGAGAGUUUUUCCGAACACCGUUGUGCAUUUUAACAAAAAGAAAACACGAAGUUAUGACUUCUGAAACAGUUGACAUGCAACAGCCACGCGAGCAAAUCAUUGUGUAUCCACCACAAGUCUACCGAACGAAGCAAUUACCUAUUAAAGCAAAAGAGAAGUAAAAGAGUAUACCAGAGAUUGAAGGUAGUAAUCUUCGUAUGCGGAGCAAUAAUCUGAGAAACAGGAAAAGAAGGGAGGGGGCCGCCGCCAUCCGAAUGGGAGAGGAUGAUAAGUUUUAGUAUAUAUAGGGCCCAUCAGCAAUAGAAGCCAACUACAAUCAUUGGAUCAGAAAGAAUAAAAGGCUCUGAUCAGCCCACUAAAUAAAAAACAGGGGAAUAGAAAAAGGAAAAAAGAAAGAAAAGAAAAUGGCAUUAAGAAAUGACAGUUCACCUUUACACACAGCACAUGAUCGCUAAAUAACACAUUACAAAUAUAAACCACAACUACGCCUCUGCAGACAACAACUUCAUUCACCUAUAAAUCAUUAUUAUUUUUUCUCUUCAACCAAUAAGGACUUUCCGGUUCCACCCCAAUACCACAUUAUUUUAACUUAAUCUUCUUGCCAACUCAAUCUAGACCUUUCUCUCACUUCUGCCAAAUCAGGUGACCAAUUUGUACUGAUUCUUUUCACUGCUGCAAUAUAUGUCUGGCCCAUCAGCAAUUGAAAUAAAUUGCAAUAAUUGGAACAAAAGAAACCCAAGGCUCUCGUUAGCCAACUUGUAAUUUUAAAAAAAACAGUGGAUUUAAGAAAAGUGAUGAUGAAGAUUUUCUUGCCACUUUGAAAACUUUGAACAGAAAAGAAAGACAGCAAUUCAAGUUGAAGAAGGUGAGAGCCGCAGGGAGCUUGUGGAACUUAGCAGUUGCCACUCGGUUUUCAAAGGUGGUUCAGACUCCAAUUGAUAGGGAUAGUUGAGCAUAGAGAAAAACAAUAAGUUGUUUCAGACCAGGUGUUUAAUGAAGUGCUUCACUAAAGACAAUCAUUUCUUCCUUAAAUAUUUUUACAAAAUAAAAGCUUGUGCAAUAAGAAUAUCAGAUUACUCAAAUAUCAACAUAUACGGUAUGCUACCCUAUGAUCCGGUGCAUAUUUAUACAUUAUAGAGUAGGUUGGACCUGAGCAUAAUAUAGGAAGGGACAAAAUAAAAGUUGUAGUAUAUAUAUUGGCUUAUACUCGAAUAAAAAUUAUAAACUCGUCACAGUUGUGCAUCAUUGAUAAUCCAAAAAAUUCACUUGACCAUAUGGAUCAGUAAGUAGUGUUACGACUAGUGUUUUGUAGUACUAUAACUGUCUGCAAGUGGUGAUUUGUACCACUCUAAUGGGCUAGUGUUUUGUAGUACUGCAAGUCUGUAACUGUCUGCAAGUGGUUAUUUGUGACUAGUUUUCCUUUUUCAAGAUAACAUCGUUGUAAUGGAGCACCACGCUAUAUGUCGGCUAACAGUCUACCAAAACAAAAUAAGUCAGAAAUCAAACAAAAAGAGAGAGAUUAAGGAAAUACCAGCUAAGAACAAAGGGGGAAGGACAUGCAUAAGAUGCGUAGCCAGAGUAUGUUGUCAAUUUGUCGAGAAGCUCUUCGAAAACCACUUUGUUAAUCAUAUUCUUUUGUCCACUGUACGCAGGUGCAACACACAUGGCCUCAAGCAUCGGAGAAUGUCCAAGCACAAAUAUGAGAAAAUCUAUGACCUUCUCCGUAAACACGACCGCCAUGUUACUACUUUAAGGUACUUGAAUGUGAAACCAGUAGUCAGUAGGGCAUUUUAACAACUUUGAGGACAUGUAGCCAGGUGUUUAAGUGUGUUCAUUCGAGUCCAAACCAAUAAAAAUGCAGAAUAGUUGCAUGUUAAUUGUAUAGUGUAAUAGUGGAACGAUAUCAAAUUUUCAGAAGUGACAAUUUAUAGAACAGUUGGUGGGCAAAAACAUACCUAUACUAAUUGUGAUAUGUAGAACAGUUGGUAGGCAACAGUGAUUGAGCCGGAGAUUUGAGCGAAUUUGGUCAGAAUCGCCAAAAUUAUUCUGAAAAUUUGGUUCAAAAGAAAGUAUUGCAAGUCCUGCUUGACGAUUUCUAACAUUUUCUAAAACUCUGCAAAAUCCUCGUGCACAUUCAAGAAAUUAAGAACUCAAUUUCAUAAACCCUAGUGUAAACCCAAUCUUUUUAUCCAAGCAAACUUUUGGAAUUUUUUUAUAAACUCAUUUUUAGGAAAAAAGACAUUUUCACGAAAUAUAUUUUUCAUAAAUUUUUAGAGCUUUUUUAUAAAAGAAUAAUUUCAAAAAUCAUUUUCUUUGAAAUUAUUUUUUACUUCUACAUUUUACAUUCUCCUCUUUGUUUAUAUGGUUAGAAAUAUAAAGAAAGUCACAUUCUUGUUUAUAAAUGUUCUUAGUAAAUAAUUCUCUACAUUUUACAUUCUCAUGUUUGUUUAUAUGGCUAGGAAUAUAAAUAAAGCCACAUUCUUCUUUAUAAAUGUUCUUGGUAAAUAAUUCAGUCCGCCUGGUUCAAACUAAAUUUUUUUUCUAGAAAACAAUCGAGACGAUAUCUAUUUUAACGGAAAAAACUGAACCAACUAAACAGAAAACAACCGAGAAGAUAUCUAUUAUAACAGAAAAAAACUGAACCAACUAAACUGUAAAAUAGAAUCUAACUGAAAUAUAAGCAGUUUAGUUUGGUUUUUGGGUUUUGCACAACUCUAACUGUCUGAAAAGAUUUACAUAAGGACCUAAUAUAAAUACAUCCUGACGCCUGAUGAAUAUCUUACUGAAGCCACAGUUCGCAGAAGUUUAGCGUUCAAGCCUAAUAAUUUCUUCAACAAUUAGAUCUUAGAACCAAAGUAGCCAAGGAAAGAAGUAAGAAAAGAAAAACAUAGUUACAGGAAUCACUUCACUGGGGGUCCAAAAAUUUAAUUUCAACAUUUGGAAAAGCUUUUCCAAGACUCAGCACUUCAUUCACUAUACUCAUUAGUCCGCGGCAAUUAUAAGGAGGUGAAACAUUCAUCAUCUGAAGCACUGGAGAACGUCCAAGCACCAAUUUGAGGAAUUCUAUUUCAUGUUCUCUAGACACCUCCGUCAUUUUUACUACUUUAAGGUGCUUAAAUGUGAAAUCAGAAGGGCAUUGUUUCUCCCAAAAAUUCAAACCAGCAGCUUUACGAUGAACAUUUUUUCUGGCCUCCUGUGUGAUCAGAAGCGAUGAAAAAAUAACUAAAGACUGAUAAAAAAAUUAUAUAAGCACAAAAAACAACAGGGCAUGUGACUUACUGAGAUUUGAAGUUCUUCUAUAUUAGGGGACUUCAAAAUCAAGUUAAGAGCAUAUAAAACUGCAUUCAUGUCUUCAAAAUUUAUUCCUCCAAGUUCGAUAAACUUCACAGAGUCAUACGUAAGUGGAACUUUUACAAGGAUGUCAUCUUCCCAAGUCUGAGCAACAGGAUCAGCCGAAAGAGGGUGAGUGUGCAUCAUUUGUUAAGUGUUAACUUAAAGAGAAAUUUAGAGACAGUUUAACACCAUUUCAUCAUCUAUCAAGUAUUAAUUAUGCUUAAAGAACUACCUUGAAGAAGAUUAUGCUUAGAGAAACCAGAAUUGGGAUAUACUCAAGAUAUACGUCUCUGAAGUUUCCAUCCAAAAUAAGAUGCUUCAUAUUUGGGGCACGGACGGAUAAAACUAGUUCAUCCAUAUUUCGAAAUUUAAAUUCCUCAAGAAGAGGGCAAAUUGAAAUAAGGUUUUCAAUAAUCUCACGAGAAACUGUACAAUGAAUUAGGUUAAGGUACUUCAGACAUGGAAAACCUUGAAAUUUCAGAGGCGGCUUCACCACAAACUUGCAAAGCUUCAAUCUUGUCAGUCCUUGACAAGAAAAUAAAUGAGAAGGCGUGGGAAUGCUAUUGAUACAGAUCCAAUUACCGCCAAGAAUUAACUCUUCAAUAUCAUUCCUUGAUAUCACACGUAGCCAUUGAUCGAUAUCAGUAGACAUUCUCAAGUAUGAAGUAGUUACUUUAAACUUAUGAAUCAGGGGGUGGGGAUCCUAGAUGAAAUACAAAUGAGUUCUGAACUCAAGCUUCUCAGUGGCCCACUACUCAUCGCAACUUCCACUGCCAAGUUAUUAGUAACUUAUAAUGUUUGGAAAAGGGAUAAAUAUCAAGUAGGUCACUCGUUUCGUCCAAAUGUAUCAAUUGGGUCACUGAUUCCCAAAUUGACUCAAAUGAGACACACAUUAGAAAAAUUUGUAUCAAAAAUAUCACUCUCUAUCGUUAGUCAAAUUUUGAAAGUAUUAUAUAUCGAGUUUCGCACAUUUUUUAUGAAUGGUACUACAUCCAAAUGAAAGAUUCCGAGUUCUACUAUUUUCACUAAUAUUUUUAGAUUUUUAAAAUUUUAUCAACUAUUUAUUUUUAAUUUUUUGAUUGUUUUAUUUGAUUUAAAUAAAAAUAAAUAGGAGAUAAAUUUUUAAAAAUCUAAAAAUAUUAUCUAAAAUACUAGAACUCAGAAUCUUUCAUUUAGAUGUAAUACCAUUCAUAAAAAAUGUGCGAAACUCAAUAUAUAAUACUUUCAAAAUUUCGACUAACGAUAGAGUAAUAUUUUUGAUACAAAUUUUUCUAAUGAGUGUCUCAUUUGAGUCAUUUGGAAAUCAGUGACUCAAUUGAUACAUUUGGACGAAACAAGUGACCUACUUGAUAUUUAUCCCGUUUGGAAAAACACCACACUGGCUCCCAUUUGGUGGACAAAAUGCUAGUUCUAUAAGAAUCCCAUAUUGGUUCUUCUAUUAAUUUGAAAUCAACAAUGCUUUGUGGCAGAUACCUGAAUUUAUCCUUCCUUGAGCCCUUGCCCAUCUUUUAAUAUCCCUGCAAAAAGCAUACAAAUUUUGAGUGUAAUCGUUGCCAUAAUAAACCAAUUUUCGAACAAUAAUGUUGUUUAAAUUCACAUAUAGCAUCUCUGUCCAAACCAUAACUAUCUAUCUUCAAGACACUGUUUCAAAAAAAAAUGAAAGAGACAAAAUGUCAAACACUUGAAACGCAAUAUAAAGCUUCCGCUCAAGCAUAUAAGUUGUAUUUUAUUUUCGAAGAAGUGGUCACUAACUACUGAACAAACAAUAUAAGUUACCCAAUUAAUGGGAGAAAAACUUAAGGACAUACCAGAUACUACUAAUGCUAUAAAAAUCUCUUUCUCCAAGUACGCCAAGCCAGAGAGAUGGAGAGGAAUAGAUACGGAAGAUUUGAAAAAAACUUGUCAAGCAACAAGGAAUUUCCAGGAUAUUCUGAUCAUGUAGAACAUUGUUUCAGUCGUUUCAAGUUGCGAAUAUCAAACUUUUGUACUCCGUAAAAGAUUUCUUUUAAUUUGUAAUUUUACUCAAAGAUGAACUAUGAAAAAAAGCAGAAUCAUAAGAAAACCAAAUUACCAAAUUGCUAUUUAUUGAAAAGAGUAUAUUGCACUUUGUAAUCCCACACUUUGACUCAUUGACAAAUCAGACCUCACACUUUGAAACGUGUUACUUUGUAACUCUAAGUUUCAUUUAGCUUUCGGUUUGUAACCAUGGCUCACACCUCCGUUAAAAACAACCGUUAACAUUAACUGUUUGAAAUGUGACAAUGUAUAUAUUAGUCUCUAAUAGAUACUUUACCCCCAUGACACCUCAAAAUUUGUGUAUUAUAUUUUAAAAUUAUUUCCGAACACACACAACGAUGUAAAAAGAUUUGAAAUAAUUUUAAAAAUAUGUAUUUAGAUUUAGAAUCUGAAUUUUUUUUACAUAAACGAUGUAACUUUUUUUAAAAUUUUAAAAUAAAUACAUAUUUAAAAAAUUAUUUUAAAAUUUUUUUACAUCGUUGUGUGUGUUCAGAAAUAAUUUCAAAAUAUAAUACAUAAACUUUUAGGGGUCACACGAGUUAAAGUGGUAGAAAGUAAUAUACAUACUGCCAACUCUCAAACAGUUAAAGUUAAUGGCCGUUUUUAACGGAUGUGUGAGCCAGGGUUACAAAUCGAAAACUAAAUGAAACUUAGAGUUACAAAAUAUCACGUUUCAAAAUGUGGGAUCUGAUUUGCUAAUGAGCCAAAGUCUGGGGUUCCAAAAUGCAAUAUACUCAUCCGAAAACUGUUUCGAAAUUUUCACGCUCAUAAUAACGGGAUCAUGAUAUUCCUAUCAACUAUCUAAUUAUAAUUAGCCAUCCGUCUGUCAAAUUGUUUGGAAACAAAUUUGAAAACAAAAUUUGGAUAGUACGCACCAAGAUAUAUAAUGAUGGACAUGAAAAUGUGUACAUAAAAACAGCAAAUGUUUAAAAAGAAUUGAUAAUUUCAUUAAACCCAAACAAAAUUAUAUGACUGGUAAUCAGAAUUCAGUUGGAAAAAUGCUAAAAACUGGCUCCUAGUUAUUAUCUCGAAUGGGUGAAACAUAUAUUAUAAGCUUAACCCAAACAUGCAAAUUCUCUGCUUUAUGCAAAAAACACAAAAUAUAAGAAUAAAAAAUAAAAUAACUCCCUUGUUUGUACAAAAGGAGUAAAAUAGCAGGUAAUAUAGUUAUACAUCCACAAGAACUGAAAGUCUUCUGAAAUCCAUAAUUUGCAAAAGAAAGGAAAUGCUGCGAUAAGAUGACUAGUGAAACAAAGACAUGGAUAAAGAUGACUAGUCAAACAAAUGCAGUUGGAUAUUGGCAGAAGCUUGUUGAAGACGCGACAAUUCAGCAUCUGAUAUAUCAUCAAAAGAUUCAAGUUUGAUGCACAUCUUCUCAAGCACUGGGGAUCGUCCAAGCACAAAUAUGAGGAAUGCUAUGUCGAUUCUGCUGCACGAGUAAUCCAUAUUUACUAUUUUGAGGUGCUUGAAGGUGAAAUCAGUAGGAAAUUCUCUCUCCCAAAAAUCCAUACCAGCAGCAUUCUGAUGAUUAAGACAUUUAAAGUCUCCAGCCUAUUGUGAUCAAAAGGGAUAAUAGAUAUUAAACACGAGCCCAAGCAUAUAAUAUUGAACAGGCAAAUGUAAGCACCAAUUAACAGCACAUGUGACUUACUAGUAUAUGAAGUUCUUGCAGAUUAGGAGACUGCAAAAGCAACUGACGAACAUACGAGACUUGCUUCAUCUCUUCAAAAUUUAUUUCCCCAAGCGAAAUAACCUUUAGACAGUUAUGUGUUACUGGAACUCUCACAGGCACACUAUCUUCCCAUUGCUGAGCAAAAGGUACAAUAGUCAGAGUGAGGGUACAAAAAGAGCAAAAAAUUUAUCAAUAUUAAGGUUAGAGAUUAUAAAAAUUGAUAACACCUUUUCCCUCUAUAUUGAAUUUACAAAAAUAAUUGGAAAUACUUUUAGCAGUUUACCAGUGAAGUGAAGUCUAAUAUUAAAUGAACCAGAGACGGAGUAUGCUCAAGAUAUAUGUAUUUAAAUAUCCCUCUCACAGUAAGAUGCUUCAGAUUUGGGGAGCAGACGGUCAAAGCUAGAUUGUCUCCAUUACUAAAUUUAAACUUCUCAAGCAGAGGGCAACCUGUUAUAAGGUUUUCAAUAACCUCAAUAGUAACCUCGCCGCCAAAAAGGUUUAGGUACUUCAAACAGGGAAAUCCUUGAAAUCCCAAAGGAGGCUCCACUUUAAACCGAUAAAGCUUCAAUCUGGUCAGUUUUUGACAAGAAAAUAUACAAGAAGGUGUGCGGAAA
RNAcentral lists this long non-coding RNA (9402 nucleotides) under Daucus carota (carrot). RNAcentral's name for it is "long non-coding RNA (DCAR_LNC001565)". Lineage: Eukaryota; Viridiplantae; Streptophyta; Magnoliopsida; Apiales; Apiaceae. The record is from RNAcentral.